Molecule: ribosomal RNA, 253 nt
Filed under: uncultured bacterium
Lineage: Bacteria
Description: partial 16S ribosomal RNA
Rfam family: Bacterial small subunit ribosomal RNA
Source: RNAcentral
UACGAAGGGGGCUAGCGUUGCUCGGAAUCACUGGGCGUAAAGCGCACGUAGGCGGGUUGUUAAGUCGGGGGUGAAAUCCUGGAGCUCAACUCCAGAACUGCCUUUGAUACUGGCGACCUUGAGUCCGGGAGAGGUGAGUGGAACUGCGAGUGUAGAGGUGAAAUUCGUAGAUAUUCGCAAGAACACCAGUGGCGAAGGCGGCUCACUGGCCCGGUACUGACGCUGAGGUGCGAAAGCGUGGGGAGCAAACAGG